UACGUAGGGUGCAAGCGUUGUCCGGAAUUAUUGGGCGUAAAGAGCUCGUAGGCGGUUUGUCGCGUCUGUUGUGAAAACUCGGGGCUCAACUCCGAGCUUGCAGUGGGUACGGGCAGACUAGAGUGCGGUAGGGGAGACUGGAAUUCCUGGUGUAGCGGUGGAAUGCGCAGAUAUCAGGAGGAACACCGGUGGCGAAGGCGGGUCUCUGGGCCGUAACUGACGCUGAGGAGCGAAAGCAUGGGGAGCGAACAGG
This 253-nucleotide ribosomal RNA is filed under the name uncultured bacterium. RNAcentral describes it as "partial 16S ribosomal RNA". It matches the Rfam family "Bacterial small subunit ribosomal RNA", at positions 524 to 776 of the family's 1533-position model. The record is from RNAcentral.